UACGGAGGGUGCAAGCGUUGUUCGGAAUUAUUGGGCGUAAAGCGCGCGCAGGUGGGCCACUAAGUCUGAUGUGAAAUCCCUCGGCUCAACCGAGGACGUGCAUUGGAUACUGGUGGUCUUGAGUCCUGGAGAGGGAAGCGGAAUUCCCAGUGUAGAGGUGAAAUUCGUAGAUAUUGGGAGGAACACCGGUGGCGAAGGCG
Molecule: ribosomal RNA, 200 nt
Filed under: uncultured bacterium
Lineage: Bacteria
Description: partial 16S ribosomal RNA
Rfam family: Bacterial small subunit ribosomal RNA
Source: RNAcentral